AAAAAAAUUACCGUAACAACUCAAUGAAAUACAUAAAUUCAAGGUAAAAGAUGAUACGAAGUGUUCAAUAUGUCAUAGAAAUACAAAAUCUAAAAGGAAAAAACGAUGAUUACUAAUAUAGGUAUUUCCUUAGAGGGGUGAACUUGAGCAGCAGCAAUCUACAUGGUUUCAACAUCAAAAGAAUCAGCUCUCUUGGGCUUCUUCACCAUCCUCAUCCUAAUGGAUCCAUACCCAUCUGUACUAUCAUUCUUAUCAAGCAAAGACCGUGGAGGUGACUCUGGAUCCACGUCAUUCCCAUCCACCCACCUAGACUCUGCUACUCCACCACCACUGUAAUGACUAGCUAGCAAUCUAACACUGUUCUCUUCAAUUCGAUCUGGCGAUCUCUCUCCAUCUUCCCAUAAAACCCCCUCAAAACCCACUUCAGAAAACCUCAAAUACGUGCCCACCGACACUAUCUCUCUGUACCUAGAGUUUCAUACUACGCAGGGAAAAUGAAGAGAAAUUCAUCAAGGAGAAAGAGAAAAAGAAAAGAAACGAAAUCAAAUUUGUU
This 553-nucleotide unclassified non-coding RNA is filed under the name Hevea brasiliensis (rubber tree). Lineage: Eukaryota; Viridiplantae; Streptophyta; Magnoliopsida; Malpighiales; Euphorbiaceae. The record is from RNAcentral.